Molecule: non-coding RNA, 54 nt
Filed under: Massilia consociata
Lineage: Bacteria; Pseudomonadati; Pseudomonadota; Betaproteobacteria; Burkholderiales; Oxalobacteraceae
Also listed under: 1 other name
Description: Li+-I sequence
Rfam family: nhaA-I RNA
About the family: Acidobacteria, Alphaproteobacteria, Betaproteobacteria and Gammaproteobacteria, Verrucomicrobia, cand. division NC10.
Source: RNAcentral
GGGUGUUCGUACCAAUUCCGGUACGGCAGGAUGCGCGAUGGUCGGGCCGCCACG